RNAcentral lists this ribosomal RNA (599 nucleotides) under uncultured bacterium. RNAcentral's name for it is "bacterial SSU rRNA". It matches the Rfam family "Bacterial small subunit ribosomal RNA", at positions 173 to 755 of the family's 1533-position model. The record is from RNAcentral.
AUGCAGCGGCACCUAAUGGUGACAGUUGUUAAAGCGGGGGAUCGCAAGACCUCGCGUCUGAAGAGGAGCCUGCGGCGGAUUAGCUAGUUGGUAAGGUAAAGGCUUACCAAGGCGAUGAUCUGUAGCCGGCCUGAGAGGGCGGUCGGCCACACUGACACUGACAUACGGGUCAGACUCCUACGGGAGGCAGCAGUCGGGAAUUUUGGGCAAUGGGCGAAAGCCUGACCCAGCAACGCCGCGUGAAGGAUGAAAUCCCUCGGGAUGUAAACUUCGCAAGAACGGGAAGAAUAAGCCGGUGUCAACACCACCGGCGAUGACGGUACUGUUUGUAAGCUCCGGCUAACUCCGUGCCAGCAGCCGCGGUAAUACGGGGGGAGCAAGCGUUGUUCGGAUUUACUGGGCGUAAAGGGCGCGUAGGCGGCCACCGCAAGUCGACUGUGAAAUCUCCGGGCUUAACCCGGAACGGUCAGCCGAUACUGCGGGGCUAGAGUGCAGAAGGGGCAACUGGAAUUCUCGGUGUAGCGGUGAAAUGCGUAGAUAUCGAGAGGAACACCUGCGGCGAAGGCGGGUUGCUGGGCUGACACUGACGCUGAGGCGCG